GACGAACGCUGGCGGCGUGCUUAACACAUGCAAGUCGAACGGAAAGGCCCUGCUUUUGUGGGGUGCUCGAGUGGCGAACGGGUGAGUAACACGUGAGUAACCUGCCCUUGACUUUGGGAUAACUUCAGGAAACUGGGGCUAAUACCGGAUAGGAGCUCCUGCUUCAUGGUGGGGGUUGGUAAGUUUCGGCGGUUGGGGAUGGACUCGCGUCUUAUCAGCUUGUGGGUGGGGUAGUGGCUUACCAAGGCUUUGACGGGUAGCCGGCCUGAGAGGGUGACCGGCCACAUUGGGACUGAGAUACGGCCCAGACUCCUACGGGAGGCAGAAGUGGGGAAUAUUGCAGAAUGGGCGGAAGGCUGAUGCAGCAACGCCGCGGGCGGGAUGACGGCCUUCGGGUUGUAGACCGCUUUCGCCUGUGACGAAGAGUGAGAGACGGUAAUGGUUAAAGAAACACCGGCUAACUACGUG
Molecule: ribosomal RNA, 468 nt
Filed under: uncultured bacterium
Lineage: Bacteria
Description: partial 16S ribosomal RNA
Rfam family: Bacterial small subunit ribosomal RNA
Source: RNAcentral